Molecule: small nuclear RNA, 113 nt
Organism: Heterocephalus glaber (naked mole-rat)
Lineage: Eukaryota; Metazoa; Chordata; Mammalia; Rodentia; Bathyergidae
Gene: U2
Rfam family: U2 spliceosomal RNA
About the family: U2 is a small nuclear RNA (snRNA) component of the spliceosome (involved in pre-mRNA splicing). Complementary binding between U2 snRNA (in an area lying towards the 5' end but 3' to hairpin I) and the branchpoint sequence (BPS) of the intron results the bulging out of an unpaired adenosine, on the BPS, which initiates a nucleophilic attack at the intronic 5' splice site, thus starting the first of two transesterification reactions that mediate splicing.
Source: Ensembl
AUCGCUUCUCGGCCUUUUGGCUAAGAUCAAGUGUAGUAUCUGUUCUUAUCAGUAUAAAGGUAGAGGGUUCAGUAUAAAGUAUCAGUUAGUGCUUUUCUAUCUACACAUCCUCU